CCUGGCGUGCUGCGAUUCAUGGGGUCACAAAGAGUCAGACAUGACUGAACUGAACUGAGAUACACAAAUCCAAAGGAAAAAAUAAUAAUAAAUACCUGAAUCAAACUAUUUGUUAAAAUUAUGCAUAAUACAUCAUAAUCAAGUAGGAUAUGUAUGUGUCUUAAUCACUCAAUCCUGUCCAACUCUUUGUGAUCCCAUGGACUGUAGCCUGUCAUGCUCCUCCAGCCACGGAAUUCUCCAGGCAAGAAUACUCCAGGUAGUAAUGGUAAAGGAAGGGAAAAUACAGCUUUACCGAGAGGCACUGGGUCUAUGAGAAGGAUACACACGACCAUGAAACUAAAAAAAAGAAGAACAAAGGGGAAGAAAUAACAGGAAUAAUUUAAUUUUUAUAUAGUACUUUAUAAAUUCAAUUUUCUUAGCAAGCCCUAUAAAUUGGUCAGGCUUUUGGAUGUUCUCUUUGGGAGAGGAAGUCACCAACUUGUCUAAAGAAAGUAAGAAUUGUGAAACAAAUGAUUGAGCUUUUUGUUACAUUCAUAUGAAACAUAGAGGUCUUGAAAUAUAUAUCUACCAGGUGCCUAUUAAGAGCGUGUUUAGAAACUUCAUGUUUACGCUUGACUCUUGUGUCUGUUUGUAUAAGCUUCUUAAAAGUCUAUCUGAUAUCUUUUUCUUCUGUGCAAACAUGGAACAGAAUAACAAAUUAAACCUACCCGUCCUCCCAAAGCUUCGUUCUGGUCAGUGAUUAGAAUACCUCUUCCAUUAUGUUGUUUUUCUCUGCUCAUAUCAUGGGAGAAGGACUAGUAACCAAUGAGAUCUCCGAAUUAAAAGCAAACAGUGUAGGGGCACUCUGCAUGGUCCUUCCCUGAAUGGACAUAAGUGGCCCCUUGUGUUCUUCCACUCCUGGGUAACAGCUCAUACUUGAAGGACGUUUGAGCAACAGCUCAGGGCCAGGGCACCAGCAUUCAGAGCACUCAGCACCAUCUUCACGUAGUCUAAAGACAAGCCUGCCCUUGGGGUCUGACCGUUGUCACCACCAUCAUCUGUCCAGAGCAGCAUGUCCUCCAAAGCCACUCUUAUACUGUGCUGGGGCCUCAAGGGUUCAAAGAAGGCUGAAGCUGCCAUAUAAGUGCACACUGUUCCAGAGACACAGAAAUGUUCCUGAAAAUAGAACUAGGGAGACUUAUCCCUAGAGAGUUUAUGUUAUAGCUAUGAAGAAACACAACAGAACACAAGAAAGUUGUUCCAAAAGAAACUGUCAUGCUAGAUACCAGGUCCGCAGGCUUCUUAACAGCUGGCCAGCUGGAUCAUUUGGUGUUUCAGUCAAUUACUUCCUCUGGAUCCUUCCGGUAAGCACCGGAAGCUUACCGGAAGUAGCUAAGCACCGUGUUACCUACUAUCUGUGAAAAAACACACACUGUCGGCUCAGGUGGAGCUGGUAUCUACCUUGGUCCAUAGCACCCACAUGAAACAUUCAUCUAAUGACAGAUGAGGAGGACCAGCUUUGGAUCCAGGCCCCAAUAUUGCUAACUUCCUGCCUGAGCAGAAUUGGGCAACUCAGUGAGCUUUUCCAAGCCUUCCUCCUGAACUGCAAGAGGGGGAUAAUAAUAUCCCUGACUUCCUCAGGUGAAUGUGAGCCAGGCAGGUAGGAAAUCUUAACUUUAUGAAAUAAAUCUCAUUUCAUGGAGACAAUUUCAUGCUGUGGUUAGGUAAGCCAUGGUUCACACCCUGGUGUUACCACCCAUUAGCUACAUUUCCUUGGUCAAAUUACUUAACCUCAUUUGCUCCCACUUCUUUGUUGGUAGAAUAUAGAUAACUGUCAUAGUGAGAUGAUUUUCCCACCUCACUGAACUCAACAGA
This 1854-nucleotide long non-coding RNA is filed under the name Capra hircus (goat). RNAcentral's name for it is "lncRNA (ENSCHIG00010013711.1)". Lineage: Eukaryota; Metazoa; Chordata; Mammalia; Artiodactyla; Bovidae. The record is from RNAcentral.